AACGAACGCUGGCGGCAUGCCUAACACAUGCAAGUCGAACGAGACCUUCGGGUCUAGUGGCGCACGGGUGCGUAACGCGUGGGAACCUGCCCUUAGGUUCGGAAUAACUCCCCGAAAGGGGUGCUAAUACCGGAUAAUGUCUUCGGACCAAAGAUUUAUCGCCUUUGGAUGGGCCCGCGUUGGAUUAGCUAGUUGGUAGGGUAAAAGCCUACCAAGGCGACGAUCCAUAGCUGGUCUGAGAGGAUGAUCAGCCACACUGGGACUGAGACACGGCCCAGACUCCUACGGGAAGCAGCAGUGGGGAAUAUUGGACAAUGGGCGAAAGCCUGAUCCAGCAAUGCCGCGUGAGUGAUGAAGGCCUUAGGGUUGUAAAGCUCUUUUACCCGGGAUGAUAAUGACAGUACCGGGAGAAUAAGCGCCGGCUAACUCCGCG
This 433-nucleotide ribosomal RNA is filed under the name uncultured bacterium. RNAcentral's name for it is "partial 16S ribosomal RNA". It matches the Rfam family "Bacterial small subunit ribosomal RNA", at positions 29 to 507 of the family's 1533-position model. The record is from RNAcentral.